RNAcentral lists this ribosomal RNA (462 nucleotides) under Triticum aestivum (bread wheat). Its description in RNAcentral is "partial small subunit ribosomal RNA". The record is from RNAcentral. Lineage: Eukaryota; Viridiplantae; Streptophyta; Magnoliopsida; Poales; Poaceae.
AUGAAGGAGUUGAAUGCAAAGAGUAGAGGGUUGGACAUAGAGUAUGAGAGGAUUGACCACAUGAAAGCAAAGGUGAGUGAGGGUGGUGAAGAUGGCAAGCGACAUGUUGUGGAUCUGGACAUGAGGAUAUGCACAUGUAGAGAAUUCCAAGUAUCAGGGAAGCCUUGCAAGCAUGCCAUUUCCUUCAUCAUCGGAAUUAGAGGGGUCACUAUAGAACACUUUGUUGAUGAUUACUACAGUGUUGCCAAGUUCGCAGCAGCAUAUACUCCUGUAAUGCCAGGGCUUACUGAUGCAUCUCAAUGGCCAAAGAAAACCCAUGAAUUCUUUUGGCACCCUCCAAUCCUUCAAAGGGCUCCUGGGAGGAAAAAAGAAAUAAAUCCAAAGUUGCAGCAAGGAGUGGUGACUCUAAUAUUCAAGCAAUCGAAGAAGUGGUUCAGCAUGGUUAAAAGGAACAAUAGGUAA